Ipomoea nil (Japanese morning glory) is the source of this 1219-nucleotide long non-coding RNA. RefSeq lists it as uncharacterized. The record is from RefSeq and is a predicted model, not a curated record. Lineage: Eukaryota; Viridiplantae; Streptophyta; Magnoliopsida; Solanales; Convolvulaceae. The transcript has 7 exons.
GGAGAAGAAAAAUUAAAUUUCAAACCCUAAUCCCUAAUUCUCUACCGUUUCUAUCGCUUCUCCAACUCAGCUGACAGCUACUCUUGUGAAUACGACAACCAACGAGUUCCGACCACAAAGCUGCUGUCGACGAAGCUGCUGCCCGGUUUCAGCCUCCGCCCCUGCCUACGACGAAGUUGCAGACUCUGAACUUAGCCUCCCCUGUAAACCAAGGAAAUCUGUAAGGACGAAGUGCUUCUCAGUAUAUGGGGAUUCCUAUGGUGACAGGUUUAAUAAUGUUACUCUAAAGUGAUUAAGUGAUAGGGCUUCUAUUUCAAGUUUUACAUUGAAAUUACUUCUUCUUUCAGUGUUAUUCAACUGCUUUGGCUUUUUAUGACCGUCUAGGUGUUUUUGCAUGUUACAUUCUAACGAAGCAGAGAUGAUAGGAAGAAUGAGGUUAGUUGCUGAUAGGCCUCACUUUCUGGAGUUUAAUUGAUGUAAAAUUCAAUUCAAAGCAAAGUUAGAGGAUGAUGAUGAAGCUGAAAAAAUUGGUUGCUGCACUUUGAAAGUAGAGAAUGUGGAGCCAGUGGCUCCAGAUACCCUGAAGUUUGAUUUUCUUGCUAAAGAUUCUAUCAAAUAUCAGAACGAUGUUCGGGUCUUGGAGCCUGUUUUCAAAGCAAUUCAACAGUUUCGAAAAGUACAUGCCAUUCAAUUAGCACACUCAAAACUCAAAAGUUUUCAUAUUUACAUCCAAGUUGAACCGCCUGAUUUGCAGUCUACUGCAGAAAGAAGGUGCAGAAUCUGAAUUAUUUUGGGAUAUAUUGGGUGGAAAAUCUGAAUACUCUAGCCAGAAAACUGGAAGGGAAUGCUGAAAGUGAUCAUCAUCUGUUCUUGUGCACCUUCUCAAAGGAUAAGAGUUUAUUUAAAGUGAUCCUCAUAUGAUCUUAGUGAAGUGAAGUGAAGAAGAUUGAUGUCUCUUGAAUACGUGAGAGGCUUGAUCAAGACAACAUUGUGACCUUAGUUGUUAGAAUGAAUGCUACCAAGUUAAAACCUUUAUGAUCUUGUUAUCUUGAUUUUUCUUUGGUGAGGACUAUUAUAUGUUGUUUAGACUUGAAUUGACUAUUUUUAGUUACUAAAUGUGGAUUGAUGAUGUAUUAUUACUUGAACUUAAUGUAAAUUGAUAAUGUUUAGAGUUAUGUUAUUUUUUAGAAUUAAUUGUGUUUUAGUAUGUUAUUGUAGU